Long non-coding RNA from Drosophila montana, 595 nucleotides. RefSeq lists it as uncharacterized. NCBI's taxonomy places the organism in Eukaryota, Metazoa, Arthropoda, Insecta, Diptera, Drosophilidae. The transcript is spliced from 2 exons. The record is from RefSeq and is a predicted model, not a curated record.
AACGACGAUCGGAGAUGUCGGCAACGGGAACGGCCGAAACAAGACAACCACACACACACACACAGAAAAUGGCAGAAGUAGCAGCCACAACAAUAAUAGCAAAAACAACACAACGUUUCUGACGUAUAUACGUAUAUAUCGGACUUUGAUAGCAACAACGCGCGCGUCGCGUCGUUUUCGGCAAACUUGAACUUGGGGCGAACGGUUUUGCGGUAUUAAGAGUCGAUCGACGCUGUCUUUCCGGUCGCACGUUUCUGAGCGUAAUGAUUUACUGUUCCUGCUGCAGCACGUUUUUAAACAGAGAGCAAACGCAAACAGCAGCAGCAGCAACAAAUACAACAACAACAAAAACAAGCGCAACAACGAAAACAGCAACAACACGUUUCGAAACAGAGCGAGAGCGUUAUGCGUUAUGUAGCAAUGUUAAUCGUCGACUUGAGCAUACCCUGCAGCAGGAUUUCGGGUAUGCGCUAUAUUGUUGUACAGAAAUGUGCGAUUUGUAAAUUUAUUUGUUAUAUCUAUAUAACGAGUACCCCAACGUAUUUGUAAUGCUUGUCAGCGCUUCUUAAUUUUAUUAAAGUGUUUUUAUGCUAAA